This 1942-nucleotide long non-coding RNA is filed under the name Aplysia californica (California sea hare). RNAcentral's name for it is "uncharacterized LOC101854145". Lineage: Eukaryota; Metazoa; Mollusca; Gastropoda; Aplysiida; Aplysiidae. The record is from RNAcentral.
UCUGUCUCUCACUCUCUCUUUCUCUUCUUCCCUCUGUCUCUCUGUCUCUCUGUCUCUCUAUCUCUCUGUCUCUCUGGUUGAUUGCACACCACCCCUCGUCUGUGCUCAGAAAUAGAAAAAACAUAAACAUUUGGAAGCGGAAGCCGCGUUGUCUCUGAUUCGAAAGCGAAACUGCAUACAGUUGCGAACGUGUUGUCUGUGCCUUGUUGAUCUGAAUUCGGAACCUAAGGUAAUGAUCAGAUGGCUGUGGUGGUUUAUUGUAGCUGAAAGCUUUGCAGUGUAGACUAGUAUAGAUCUAUAUCUAGACUCUAGAUGAUGUAUCGUGUAGAACCAAACAAGACCCACAGAGUCUCCCGAGGGAGAGAGACCAGAUCUAGACCUCCUUAGAUCUAUAUAUCUAGAUAUAAAUUAUUAUAAAUAUAAAUAUAGAUCUAGAAUCUAGAAUGUAGACCUAGGCCUAGGCUUGCCUUUCCUUCUUAGUAGUCCCUCACUUAUUAUAACUAACUAAUGUCCACUGGAACUGCAUGCAAUGUACUGGCCUUUGUAGAGCUAAAUCUAAGUUUUUUUGAAGUUUGAUGGGAAUAGCACACAGUGAGCCUAACCCUAAUUACUAAUACUAAUACUAAUUUAGUAAAACAAAUUUAAGCUUCCUCUAUUACCGAGUAUUGGCAUUCACUAAUUAAUGACUAGAUUCUAGAUCUAAUGGCAAUGUUAGAUCUAUCUCAGCUGGGCACUUUGUAGAGCUAAAUCUAGGGUUGUUUAGAAAAGCGUUUGAUUGUAUAUCACACGGUGAGUCGAACGCUUAGUCAACCAAGUAAGCUUCCUAUUACUAUUAUUAUCAUUACCGACUUAAAAUGACAUUCACUAACAAAUGACUAUAAUGGCAAUGCUCAAUGCUAGAUCUAGGGCUGUUUAGUGUUUGAUUGGAAAUGUCACACAGUGAGCCGAACGGUUUUAACUAAUUAAAAGUUGGGGGCUCGGGUGACUAAUCAACUAAGUGAGUAGGCCUAGAUCUCGAACCGUCAUUUCAGUUUGGGAAAUUUUUCGCAGCUCGUCCGACACAAAAGCAUAAGCCUAGAUUUUUUGUCGAAUAACUUUCGAUCCCGUUUACUUUUAACCUAGAUUCUCUAAACGGCACUCUUCGAGGGAAGUGGUCCCGGCUUAACACCAUAGAAAUAACACUAAGACUUGUAGUCAGAAACAAAAACACAAGUCGAGUAAAAAAGCUGUCUUCGGUAAUUUUUUUCCCUUACUUCAAGUUUAGAAUAUUUCCCACAUUAAUUUUUUAAUCGGCUUCCUUUUUUGUUUCCGAUUGCAAGUGUUAUUUCUACGGAAUUAGGCCGGGACUACUUCUCCCGAAGAGUGCCCUCUAAACGAGUGACAACCCCGUUUUGUUUUUUCGAGCAAAACUUUUUUCAACGUUAUAGAUUGGUGUGGAAGGGCACUUUUCUUAGAGAGGCCAGAAUAUUGCUCGAUAUGAGUCGGGCGGAACUAUUUUCUUACGGAUAUUGAUAAGUAAAUGGGACAAACUGAUACAAGACCGGGAACGGUAGCUCGAUAACAUUAACAAUCAGUGCCGUCUGUCUCAAGUCAUCCGUAAGAAAAUCGUGUCUUUUCAUCGGACAGGCUACAGCACGGGCAAAAAUAGUUUUGGUGUCGACGGACAUCCCCGCUCCGUCCCUCAUGUUUAAACUGACUGCGUCAGUGUCGUUCUGUAGGUAUUAAUUUUAAAUAACGUUUCCAAGCCCUCUGACCUGGUAACCGUAACAGUUUUGGUCAGGUCCAUUUUUCCCCUUCUCUUUCCCCCGAUCUCGGAAUCUUCGCGGAGAGGAGCAGCGCCAGCCGUUUGCCAGCGACGAGGAGACGAUCUCGGAAUCUUCGCGGACGCAGUAUCAUGUCUGGAGAGGAACAGCCCCAGCCGUUUGCCAGCGACGAGGAGAUG